Molecule: ribosomal RNA, 301 nt
Filed under: uncultured bacterium
Lineage: Bacteria
Description: partial 16S ribosomal RNA
Rfam family: Bacterial small subunit ribosomal RNA
Source: RNAcentral
CAGUAGCCGCGGUAAUACGAAGGGUGCAAGCGUUACUCGGAAUUACUGGGCGUAAAGCGUGCGUAGGUGGUGGUUUAAGUCCGUUGUGAAAGCCCUGGGCUCAACCUGGGAAUUGCAGUGGAUACUGGAUCACUAGAGUGUGGUAGAGGAUAGUGGAAUCUCCGGUGUAGCAGUGAAAUGCGUAGAGAUCGGAAGGAACAUCUGUGGCGAAGGCGACUAUCUGGGCCAACACUGACACUGAGGCACGAAAGCGUGGGGAGCAAACAGGAUUAGAUACCCGCGUAGUCCCUGUCUCUUAUAA